Molecule: ribosomal RNA, 456 nt
Filed under: uncultured Anoxybacillus sp.
Lineage: Bacteria; Bacillati; Bacillota; Bacilli; Caryophanales; Anoxybacillaceae
Description: bacterial SSU rRNA
Rfam family: Bacterial small subunit ribosomal RNA
Source: RNAcentral
CGGUGGAGCAUGUGGUUAAUUCGAAGCAAGGCGAAGAACCUUACCAGGUCUUGACAUCCCCUGACAACCCGAGACGAUCGGGCGGUUCCCCCUUCGGGGGGACAGGGUGACAGGUGGUGCAUGGUUGUCGUCAGCUCGUGUCGUGAGAUGUUGGGUUAAGUCCCGCAACGAGCGCAACCCUCGACCUUAGUUGCCAGCAUUCAGUUGGGCACUCUAAGGUGACUGCCGGCUAAAAGUCGGAGGAAGGUGGGGAUGACGUCAAAUCAUCAUGCCCCUUAUGACCUGGGCUACACACGUGCUACAAUGGGCGGUACAAAGGGUCGCGAACCCGCGAGGGGGAGCCAAUCCCAAAAAGCCGCUCUCAGUUCGGAUUGCAGGCUGCAACUCGCCUGCAUGAAGCCGGAAUCGCUAGUAAUCGCGGAUCAGCAUGCCGCGGUGAAUACGUUCCCGGGCCUU